This 451-nucleotide ribosomal RNA is filed under the name uncultured bacterium. RNAcentral's name for it is "partial 16S ribosomal RNA". It matches the Rfam family "Bacterial small subunit ribosomal RNA", at positions 354 to 796 of the family's 1533-position model. The record is from RNAcentral.
GUGGGGAAUAUUGGACAAUGGGGGGAACCCUGAUCCAGCCAUGCCGCGUGUGUGAAGAAGGCCUUUUGGUUGUAAAGCACUUUAAGCGAGGAGGAGGCUACCGAGAUUAAUACUCUUGGAUAGUGGACGUUACUCGCAGAAUAAGCACCGGUUAACUCUGUGCCAGCAGCCGCGGUAAUACAGAGGGUGCAAGCGUUAAUCGGAUUUACUGGGCGUAAAGCGCGCGUAGGUGGCCAAUUAAGUCAAAUGUGAAAUCCCCGAGCUUAACUUGGGAAUUGCAUUCGAUACUGGUUGGGUGGAGUAUGGGAGAGGAUGGUAGAAUUCCAGGUGUAGCGGUGAAAUGCGUAGAGAUCUGGAGGAAUACCGAUGGCGAAGGCAGCCAUCUGGCCUAAUACUGACACUGAGGUGCGAAAGCAUGGGGAGCAAACAGGAUUAGAAACCCGAGUAGUCC